RNAcentral lists this small RNA (518 nucleotides) under Cyberlindnera sp. Eca94. RNAcentral describes it as "eukaryotic LSU rRNA". The stretch from base 164 to 317 matches the Rfam family "5.8S ribosomal RNA". Lineage: Eukaryota; Fungi; Ascomycota; Saccharomycetes; Phaffomycetales; Wickerhamomycetaceae. The record is from RNAcentral.
UGGGGAGCGUGCGCUUUGAUAAGCGCUGCUUCCAAACCUUACACACUUGUGGAUAAUUUCUACUUUGCUUUGGGUGGGGUGAAAACCCCGCCCAGAGGUUCUAAACACAGAUUUUUAAUCUUAUUCAAACCCAGUCAAGAAGUAUUUAUAUACAAAUCUUCAAAACUUUCAACAACGGAUCUCUUGGUUCUCGCAACGAUGAAGAACGCAGCGAAAUGCGAUACGUAAUGUGAAUUGCAGGUUUUCGUGAAUCAUCGAAUCUUUGAACGCAUAUUGCGCCCUCUGGUAUUCCGGAGGGCAUGCCUGUUUGAGCGUCAUUUCUCUCUCAAAACUUCAGUUUUGGUAUUGAGUGAUACUCUCCGGAGUUAACUUGAAAUAUUGUGGCAAGGGCUGUUUAGACAGGUCUCCUCUAAAACGUUUCUAGGUUCUACCAAAUUCGUUCCAUGAGGUUACCCCCUAAACUUCCAAACCCGGCCUAACAACAACCCCCCCAAGUUUGACCUCAAAUCAGGUAGGAU